This 422-nucleotide ribosomal RNA is filed under the name uncultured bacterium. RNAcentral describes it as "partial 16S ribosomal RNA". It matches the Rfam family "Bacterial small subunit ribosomal RNA", at positions 362 to 776 of the family's 1533-position model. The record is from RNAcentral.
UUUUGGACAAUGGGGGAAACCCUGAUCCAGCCAUCCCGCGUGUAUGAUGAAGGCCNUCNNGUUGUNANGUACUUUUGGCAUAGNNNNNAAGGUAUCCCCAAAUACGGGAUACUGCUGACGGUAUCUGCAGAAUAAGCACCAGCUAACUACGUGCCAGCAGCCGCGGUAAUACGUAGGGUGCAAGCGUUAAUCGGAAUUACUGGGCGUAAAGCGUGUGUAGGCGGUUCAGAAAGAAAGAUGUGAAAUCCCAGGGCUCAACCUUGGAACUGCAUUUUUAACUGCCGAGCCAGAGUAUGUCAGAGGGGAGUAGAAUUCCACGUGUAGCAGUGAAGUGCGUAGAUAUGUGGAGGAAUACCGAUGGCGAAGGCAGCCCCCUGGGAUAAUACUGACGCUCAGACACGAAAGCGUGGGGAGCAAACAGG